GACAGCCGGCGCGCAGGAGAAGAAAGUCGCUCCUUCCCCAACUGCCGCACCGGCACGAAGCGGACAGCCUCGUGCAAACACACCAGCAGCCGGAAGGAUCGUCACGGCGGGGCGGGACCGCUGACGCAACGCCGGCCGGCGAUUGGGGAGUCAGGCGGGAAAAGUCCACCAACAGGCGACAGAGGAGGAGGAUAAAAGGGCGCGCUUCCGGCCAUAAGGGGAGCGGAAGACCGACGGUGAACAAAAGGAAUCCGUGCGUGCGUUUCAGCGGCCUACAGACGCGCCCACACGGAGUACAACGGAGACAGAUCUGGACUGCUGGCAGGCCGGUCAAGCACACGCACUCCGUGUCUAUGAAGCCAUGCUGUUGUAGCACAUGCAGAAUGAGGCCUGGCAUUGUCCUGAUAAAGUAACCAUGGACUUCCUGGGAAAAGACGUUGUCUUGAUGGCAGCAUGUGUCUCUCUACAACCCCUCAUAUAUACGCCUCAUCAUCAAUGAGAACUCGACAUCCGUUUUUCCCGAAAACAAGCUGAAACAUGGACUCAUCUGACCACAGCACGCCUUUCCACUGCCUUUCAGUCCAUCUGAGAUGAGCUCAGGCCCAGAGAACUCGGCAGCGUUUCUGCAUAGAGUUGAUGUAUGGCUUCCUCCUUGUGUAAAAGAG
This is a long non-coding RNA of Ictalurus punctatus (channel catfish), 665 nucleotides long. NCBI's taxonomy places the organism in Eukaryota, Metazoa, Chordata, Actinopteri, Siluriformes, Ictaluridae. The record is from Ensembl.